RNAcentral lists this ribosomal RNA (405 nucleotides) under uncultured bacterium. RNAcentral describes it as "partial 16S ribosomal RNA". It matches the Rfam family "Bacterial small subunit ribosomal RNA", at positions 30 to 526 of the family's 1533-position model. The record is from RNAcentral.
AUUGAACGCUAGCGGGAUGCUUUACACAUGCAAGUCGAACGAGUGGCGGACGGGUGAGUAAUAUAUCGGAACCUGCCCAGUAGCGGGGGAUAACUACUCGAACGAGUGGCUAAUACCGCAUACUAUUGGCGCGGCCGCUAUUGGAUUAGCUAGUUGGUGGGGUAAAGGCUAACCAAGGCAACGAUCCGUACCUGGUUUGAGAGGACGACCAGCCACACUGGGACUGAGACACGGCCCAGACUCCUACGGGAGGCAGCAGUGGGGAAUGUUGGACAAUGGGGGAAACCCUGAUCCAGCCAUGCCGCGUGUAUGAGAAGGCCUUCGGGUUGUAAAGUACUUUUGGCAGUGAAGCGGUAUCUGCAGAAUAAGCACCGGCUAACUACGUGCCAGCAGCCGCGGUAAUUC